This 460-nucleotide ribosomal RNA is filed under the name uncultured bacterium. Its description in RNAcentral is "partial 16S ribosomal RNA". It matches the Rfam family "Bacterial small subunit ribosomal RNA", at positions 338 to 795 of the family's 1533-position model. The record is from RNAcentral.
CCUACGGGUGGCAGCAGUGAGGAAUAUUGGUCAAUGGGCGCGAGCCUGAACCAGCCAAGUAGCGUGAAGGAUGACUGCCCUACGGGUUGUAAACUUCUUUUAUAAAGGAAUAAAGUGAGGCACGUGUGCCUUUUUGUAUGUACUUUAUGAAUAAGGAUCGGCUAACUCCGUGCCAGCAGCCGCGGUAAUACGGAGGAUCCGAGCGUUAUCCGGAUUUAUUGGGUUUAAAGGGAGCGUAGAUGGGUUGUUAAGUAAGUUGUGAAAGUUUGCGGCGCAACCGUAAAAUUGCAAUUGAUACUGGCAGUCUUGAGUACAGGUGAGGUAGGCGGAAUUCGUGGUGUAGCGGUGAAAUGCGUAGAUAUUAGGAGGAACACCAGUGGCGAAGGCGGCUUACUGGACUGUAACUGACGUUGAGGCUCGAAAGCGUGGGGAGCAAACAGGACUAGAUACCCUAGUAGUC